UGAGUUUGAUCCUGGCUCAGAUUGAACGCUGGCGGCAUGCCUUACACAUGCAAGUCGAACGGCAGCACGGGUGCUUGCACCUGGUGGCGAGUGGCGAACGGGUGAGUAAUACAUCGGAACAUGUCCUGUAGUGGGGGAUAGCCCGGCGAAAGCCGGAUUAAUACCGCAUACGAUCUACGGAUGAAAGCGGGGGACCUUCGGGCCUCGCGCUAUAGGGUUGGCCGAUGGCUGAUUAGCUAGUUGGUGGGGUAAAGGCCUACCAAGGCGGCGAUCAGUAGCUGGUCUGAGAGGACGACCAGCCACACUGGGACUGAGACACGGCCCAGACUCCUACGGGAGGCAGCAGUGGGGAAUUUUGGACAAUGGGCGAAAGCCUGAUCCAGCAAUGCCGCGUGUGUGAAGAAGGCCUUCGGGUUGUAAAGCACUUUUGUCCGGAAAGAAAUCCUUGGCUCUAAUACAGUCGGGGGAUGACGGUACCGGAAGAAUAAGCACCGGCUAACUACGUGCCAGCAGCCGCGGUAAUACGUAGGGUGCGAGCGUUAAUCGGAAUUACUGGGCGUAAAGCGUGCGCAGGCGGUUUGCUAAGACCGAUGUGAAAUCCCCGGGUCCACCUGGGAACUGCAUUGGUGACUGGCAGGCUAGAGUAUGGCAGAGGGGGGGUAGAAUUCCACGUGUAGCAGUGAAAUGCGUAGAGAUGUGGAAGAAUUCCGAUGGCGAAAGGCAGCCCCCUGGGCCAAUACUGACGCUCAUGCACGAAAGCGUGGGGAGCAAACAGGAUUAGAUACCCUGGUAGUCCACGCCCUAAACGAUGUCAACUAGUUGUUGGGGAUUCAUUUCCUUAGUAACGUAGCUAACGCGUGAAGUUGACCGCCUGGGGAGUACGGUCGCAAGAUUAAAACUCAAAGGAAUUGACGGGGACCCGCACAAGCGGUGGAUGAUGUGGAUUAAUUCGAUGCAACGCGAAAAACCUUACCUACCCUUGACAUGGUCGGAAUCCCGCUGAGAGGUGGGAGUGCUCGAAAGAGAACCGGCGCACAGGUGCUGCAUGGCUGUCGUCAGCUCGUGUCGUGAGAUGUUGGGUUAAGUCCCGCAACGAGCGCAACCCUUGUCCUUAGUUGCUACGCAAGAGCACUCUAAGGAGACUGCCGGUGACAAACCGGAGGAAGGUGGGGAUGACGUCAAGUCCUCAUGGCCCUUAUGGGUAGGGCUUCACACGUCAUACAAUGGUCGGAACGGAGGGUUGCCAACCCGCGAGGGGGAGCUAAUCCCAGAAAACCGAUCGUAGUCCGGAUUGCACUCUGCAACUCGAGUGCAUGAAGCUGGAAUCGCUAGUAAUCGCGGAUCAGCGUGCCGCGGUGAAUACGUUCCCGGGUCUUGUACACACCGCCCGUCACACCAUGGGAGUGGGUUUUACCAGAAGUGGCUAGUCUAACCGCAAGGAGGACGGUCACCACGGUAGGAUUCAUGACUGGGGUGAAGUCGUAACAAGGU
RNAcentral lists this ribosomal RNA (1491 nucleotides) under uncultured beta proteobacterium. RNAcentral's name for it is "16S ribosomal RNA". It matches the Rfam family "Bacterial small subunit ribosomal RNA". The record is from RNAcentral. Lineage: Bacteria; Pseudomonadati; Pseudomonadota; Betaproteobacteria.